Molecule: long non-coding RNA, 1431 nt
Organism: Chionomys nivalis (European snow vole)
Lineage: Eukaryota; Metazoa; Chordata; Mammalia; Rodentia; Cricetidae
Exons: 8
Source: RefSeq, a predicted model, not a curated record
CGCUGGUCGAGCGGGCUCGGCAAGGCCGGGAUGAAGAGGAGCUGCGAACCAGGAUCCGACCCAGUACCCCCAAAGCCCCUCGAGUGAAUAUCCACGCGGAAAGGAUGUUGGCAGUCCGGGUGACCUGGGAGUCAUGGCUGAAUCCACCCUCCCGAAGAGAUGACAGCAGGAUCGCUUGAAGAUGCAAACCAACCCCAUGUCCUGAGGAAAACAGCCCUAUGCCAUUUUAUGCACGACCUUAGCAUGACUAUGGUAAGAAGAUGCUCUCCAGAAGACUGUUCUUGUGGACGGCAUGGAGCCCCAUUUGGGGAUUUUCUGAACCCUGUGGAUGUUACAGUGAGAUGCACUUACCUGAGGAGUGAUGCUGGUGGAUGCGGAUUCUGGAAGAACUCACCUGGCUUGCCUUGGGAAGCUACAAGGUGGCCUAAUGGAUUCUUUCAGACUGGAUGCCCACUGGAGACAAGGACAGUAGCUGAGAAGACUGUAUCUCAACCCUUGACUCAAUGUGAAUAUUUGCUCUGAUCCCCGGGUAACCUGGAGCUCCCUCAAAAAUAGAGCCGAGUUCUGUCACCAUGGACGCUGGCAGUGGCAUUUUCAUUCCCGUGGCAAGCAGUCAGUCCUGAGGUGGAAAAAUUACCUGUGAGAGCUGGCUUGUAAACAACGCAGGCUUUGGAGAAGGCACAAUUUUCCCACGCUGACAAGCCUGGGGCUCUGCAUAGGGAAUGAAGAUCCAGACCAAGGAUGAUGACCAAAGGCCUGAGGACCCCAGUCGCAAAGUGCAAAGUAUCCUUGGACUUUCGGGAUGCAUACCCGUUAAGCAUUCCAGAAGGAUUCGAGGAUCAUCCUGUUCUAAAAUAAAGCUGGAGUGUUUGGGGGAUUUGGAAAAUUGAGAUGAGAAGCAUCUACUUAGAAAUGCCAAGUCACUCAGCUGAUAAAUAGCAAAGACAGAAGUCAUCAAGCUAGAGGCAAUUCUGUGAGACAGUUGAGCGCUCCAGAGCUGGUAGGAGAUUGAUGGACUUACACAGAAGAUAGAUCCAGCCGUGCCGUUGGCCCUAUGAGAAGGAGACACUCUUUCCAGAAGACAUAGAACAUUCCUGAACCUGGAAAGAUGCCUGGAAACUGCGAGAAGACAGAAGAGAGCACUUCCCCCUCCUGCCUGGGCAUCUCCCACCAUACUCAAUACUUUUCACCGGGUCACUGCUGAGCUGUCCUCGUUCAGUCUUGGUUUGAUGGAAUAUUAGUCUGAAAUUUUUACUUUCAAUUAAACUCACUUGUUGAACCACCUCUAUCUUCAAAGGAUUCUAUUAGGAUGGCUAAUUAUAGCUAUUGCUACAAGGCAUUAUUUGCACUCAAUUUCAGCUCUUAGGCAAUUUGGUUUAAGUGUUUUAUAUUUUCACUCUUCGGAGUUAUGUGUAACCAUCAUCCUCCUAU